RNAcentral lists this ribosomal RNA (465 nucleotides) under uncultured bacterium. RNAcentral's name for it is "bacterial SSU rRNA". It matches the Rfam family "Bacterial small subunit ribosomal RNA", at positions 31 to 507 of the family's 1533-position model. The record is from RNAcentral.
GGAGAACGCUGGCGGCGUGCCUGACACAUGCAAGUCGGACGGUUCUUGUAUCUUCAAGCUUGCUUGCAGGUGCAAGGAUAGUGGCGGACGGGUGAGUAACGCGUGAACAUCUACCCAUUGGAGGGGGACAACCCGUCGAAAGGCGGGCUAAUACCGCGUAAGCCGCGAGGUGAGAGGCUGCCUAUUGGUGGCCGCCGAUGGAUGGGUUCGCGUCCUAUCAGCUGGUUGGUGGGGUAACGGCCUACCAAGGCGAAGACGGGUAGCCGGUCUGAGAGGAUGGCCGGCCACACUGGAACUGAGACACGGUCCAGACUCCUACGGGAGGCAGCAGUGGGGAAUAUUGGGCAAUGGGGAGACCCUGACCCAGCGACGCCGCGUGAGGGAUGAAGGUUUUCGGAUCGUAAAACUCUGUCCUUGGUGAAGAAAAGGACGGUAGCCAAGGAGGAAGCCCCGGCUAACUACGUG